This 468-nucleotide ribosomal RNA is filed under the name uncultured bacterium. RNAcentral describes it as "partial 16S ribosomal RNA". It matches the Rfam family "Bacterial small subunit ribosomal RNA", at positions 28 to 507 of the family's 1533-position model. The record is from RNAcentral.
GACGAACGCUGGCGGCGUGCUUAACACAUGCAAGUCGAACGGAAAGGCCCUGCUUUUGUGGGGUGCUCGAGUGGCGAACGGGUGAGUAACACGUGAGUAACCUGCCCUUGACUUUGGGAUAACUUCAGGAAACUGGGGCUAAUACCGGAUAGGAGCUCCUGCUGCAUGGUGGGGGUUGGAAAGUUUCGGCGGUUGGGGAUGGACUCGCGGCUUAUCAGCUUGUUGGUGGGGUAGUGGCUUACCAAGGCUUUGACGGGUAGCCGGCCUGAGAGGGUGACCGGCGACAUUGGGACUGAGAUACGGCCCAGACGCCUACGGGAGGCAGCAGGGGGGAAUAUUGCACAGUGGGCGGAAGCCUGAUGCAGCGACGCCGCGUGCGGGAUGACGGCCUUCGUGUUGUAAACCGCUUUCGCCUGUGACGAAGCGGGAGUGACGGUAAUGGGUAAAGAAGCACCGGCUAACUACGUG